RNAcentral lists this transfer RNA (76 nucleotides) under Parcubacteria group bacterium. Its description in RNAcentral is "tRNA-Ile". It matches the Rfam family "tRNA". Rfam says of the family: Transfer RNA (tRNA) molecules are approximately 80 nucleotides in length. The record is from RNAcentral.
AGGCCCGUAGCUCAGGGGUUAGAGCGCCACUCUUAUAAGGUGGAUGUCGGUGGUUCAAAUCCACCCGGGCCUACCA